This 484-nucleotide ribosomal RNA is filed under the name uncultured bacterium. Its description in RNAcentral is "partial 16S ribosomal RNA". It matches the Rfam family "Bacterial small subunit ribosomal RNA", at positions 28 to 523 of the family's 1533-position model. The record is from RNAcentral.
GACGAACGCUGGCGGCGUGCUUAACACAUGCAAGUCGAACGAUGAAGCUGGAGCUUGCUCCGGUGGAUUAGUGGCGAACGGGUGAGUAACACGUGAGUAAUCUGCCCUUGACUCUGCGGUAACUGCGGGAAACUGUAGCUAAUACCGGAUACGACACCUUCGGGCAUCCGAUGGGUGUGGAAAGAAUUUCGGUCAAGGAUGAACUCGCGGCCUAUCAGCUAGUUGGUGAGGUAAUGGCUCACCAAGGCGACGACGGGUAGCCGGCCUGAGAGGGUGACCGGCCACACUGGGACUGAGACACGGCCCAGACUCCUACGGGAGGCAGCAGUGGGGAAUAUUGCACAAUGGGCGAAAGCCUGAUGCAGCAACGCCGCGUGAGGGAUGAAGGCCUUCGGGUUGUAAACCUCUUUUAGUUGGGAAGAAGCGAAUGUGACGGUACCAACAGAAAAAGCACCGGCUAACUACGUGCCAGCAGCCGCCGUAA